GAUGAACGCUGGCGGCGUGCCUAAUACAUGCAAGUCGAGCGGUAACACUUCGGGUGACGAGCGGCGGACGGCUGAGUAACACAUAGGAACGUACCCCAAACUGAGGGAUAAGCACCGGAAACGGUGUCUCAUACCGCAUGUGGUCUUCGGAUUAAAGCUUCGGCGGUUUGGGACCGGACUGCGCAUGAUUAGCUUGUUGGUGAGGGAAAAGCUCACCAAGGCGACGAUCAUUAGCUGGUCUGAGAGGAUGAUCAGCCAGACUGGGACUGGGACACGGCCCAGACUCCUACGGGAGGCAGCAGUAGGGAAUUUUCCACAAUGGGCGAAAGCCUGAUGGAGCAACGCCGCGUGCAGGAUGAAUGCCUUCGGGUUGUAAACUGCUUUUAUUGGUGACGAUUAUGACGGUAGCCAAUGAAUAAGGAUCGGCUAACUCCGUGCCAGCAGCCGCGGUAA
Molecule: ribosomal RNA, 453 nt
Filed under: uncultured bacterium
Lineage: Bacteria
Description: partial 16S ribosomal RNA
Rfam family: Bacterial small subunit ribosomal RNA
Source: RNAcentral